RNAcentral lists this ribosomal RNA (440 nucleotides) under uncultured bacterium. Its description in RNAcentral is "partial 16S ribosomal RNA". It matches the Rfam family "Bacterial small subunit ribosomal RNA", at positions 338 to 795 of the family's 1533-position model. The record is from RNAcentral.
CCUACGGGUGGCAGCAGUGGGGAAUAUUGCACAAUGGGGGGAACCCUGAUGCAGCAACGCCGCGUGGGUGAAGAAGUACUCCGGUAUGUAAAGCCCUGUCAGCAGGGAAGAAAAUGACGGUACCUGACCAAGAAGCCCCGGCUAACUACGUGCCAGCAGCCGCGGUAAUACGUAGGGGGCAAGCGUUAUCCGGAUUUACUGGGUGUAAAGGGAGCGUAGACGGCAAGGCAAGUCUGGAGUGAAAGCCCGUGGCCCAACCACGGGACUGCUUUGGAAACUGUGUUGCUGGAGUGCAGGAGGGGUAAGCGGAAUUCCUAGUGUAGCGGUGAAAUGCGUAGAUAUCUGGAGGAACAUCAGUGGCGAAGGCGACUAUCUGGCACAUAACUGACGCUGAGGAGCGAAAGCGUGGGUAGCAAACAGGAUUAGAUACCCGUGUAGUC